UGGGACAUACAAGAUCCUACUGCUGC
Molecule: non-coding RNA, 26 nt
Filed under: Rattus norvegicus (Norway rat)
Lineage: Eukaryota; Metazoa; Chordata; Mammalia; Rodentia; Muridae
Source: RNAcentral